UACGUAGGGGGCAAGCGUUGUCCGGAUUUAUUGGGCGUAAAGAGCGUGUAGGCGGCCAAGCAGGUCCGCUGUGAAAACUCGAGGCUCAACCUUGAGACGUCGGUGGAAACCGUUUGGCUAGAGUCCGGAAGAGGAGAGUGGAAUUCCCGGUGUAGCGGUGAAAUGCGCAGAUAUCGGGAAGAACACCCCGUGGCGAAGGCGGCUCUCUGGGACGGUACUGACGCUGAGACGCGAAAAGCGUGGGGGAGCGAACAGG
This 256-nucleotide ribosomal RNA is filed under the name uncultured bacterium. RNAcentral's name for it is "partial 16S ribosomal RNA". It matches the Rfam family "Bacterial small subunit ribosomal RNA", at positions 524 to 776 of the family's 1533-position model. The record is from RNAcentral.